This is a long non-coding RNA of Hemicordylus capensis (graceful crag lizard), 1263 nucleotides long. RefSeq lists it as uncharacterized. The transcript is spliced from 4 exons. Lineage: Eukaryota; Metazoa; Chordata; Lepidosauria; Squamata; Cordylidae. The record is from RefSeq and is a predicted model, not a curated record.
UGUGAGCAUUGCAAUGUUCGAUUCCUUUUCACAUCUUUGGCUGAAGGCUGCAAAUUAUUAUGUCUCUCAAGUCGCCUUCUUUAUUCAGCAUCUUUGAACAUCACUUAUUUGGAAAGCUUUUAAGGCCUAUUAAUGAUGGGCCUGAUUAGCUGCGGUGAAGGCUGAUAGUCAAAGCAGAGCAAAAAGGAAAAGAAAUUGUCAGGAUUCUAACUUUACCACUUUCCAAAGCCACAGCACUGAAAUUUUGGGAAGCGGAUGAAAGGAAGCCAGCACAGAUCAUUUGACCGAGCAUGACCUCCACCAUAGGAACAAGUGAAAUGAAGGAAAUGGCAGAUGAGAGGGAACAUGGGGCGGAACACAGUGGCUGGAAACCCAUCCUGAUGCAGCCCGAGGUGAUAAUAAUGAGAAGAGAUGGACAGAAUUAGAAGAGUGACAUUGGGGAAAGCUUGGGAUGAAGAGCUGAGGUUGACCCCAGACAGAUUGGCUAUUUUUGAGGAUGUCCACCUGUCCCUGAAAACCUGUUUCCAGCUGCAAACUUCUCUGGGCCUUGUAAAGCCAAAAAGCACUAUAAAGAUGUAAAAAACUAAAAAAAAAAAAAAAAUGUUCCUGUGAGAAACUUGGCUGAAGAGAAAGGAGGGCAUUAAAAGAACUGAAGCAUCUCUCUGAGAAUGAACCAGCCAAAGUUCAAGAAGUAUUGCAUGAGUUGUUUGGUGACAUGGAGAUUUCUCCUCAGUGGUCACUUUUCCUCCAGUAUGUUGGACUCAGCUCCUUUCACAUUAGGGAGGGUCAAGGAGAAUGCUCCAUAAUGCUGACACCAAACCACAGAGUGAGGUCAUCUGGGGUUUUGCAGUGGGAGCCUUUGGAUGGAGAAAGAAAGAAAGAAAGAAAGAAAGAAAGAAAGAAAGAAAGAAAGAAAGAAAGAAAGAAAGAAAUUUCAGGUGUUCUGAAAGGUUGGGGGAGUGUAUAAUGCUGAAUCCUCUCCCUGCCCCGAGAUGAAAACAUUUGAUGCUACCUGCCCUAGGCUUGUAGGCAGCACACUCUUGAGGGAGUGUGCUGUUGAAUCUGUCAAGAGAAACAGUUAGAGCAGCAACAGUCACAUCUGUACUGGUUUUCCUGCUGGUUUAUUAUUAUUAUUAUCAUCUAUUUAUCUAUUUAUCUAUCUAUCUAUCUAUUAUUAAAACUUUUAUACCGCCCUUCCAAAAGGCUCAGGGCAGUUUACAUUAAAACACCAUUAAAAUCAGUUAAUAAUUAAAACAAAAAUUA